This 1181-nucleotide long non-coding RNA is filed under the name Ailuropoda melanoleuca (giant panda). Its description in RNAcentral is "lncRNA (ENSAMEG00000026897.1)". Lineage: Eukaryota; Metazoa; Chordata; Mammalia; Carnivora; Ursidae. The record is from RNAcentral.
GGACCUCUUCACCGGAGGUACCCCGCGCGCCCCGGCCCGCGGCGCUGUGUGUGCGCCCGCGCGACUCCCGCUCGGGUUGGACCCGGGUCCCUGGGGAGGCUGCUGGGCCGCCAGCCCCGCGCCUGGCUCCGCCGCCACCGCCCUCCGGCUCCGCCCCGCCCUCGCCUGGACCCCCAGCCUCGGGAACUCCCGAGUGGGAGUCUGUGGCCACACCCUCCUCCUUGCCCCACUACCCUCAAGUUUCUUGUCCUGGUCAUUACGGACUGUGCUGUUUGAGCAAUUUCCUCCGGAGGUGACUCCCCAACAGGUACUGUGCACUAGACUCCUGGCCUGCUCCCCAUUUUCACUCCCCUGCCCUUGCCUUUGGGGUUUGUUUUGCUGGGAAUCAUGCUUCUCUGCCUGGUGUAAAGAACAUCCUUCCCUCCUUGUGACCCCAUCUCCACCACUCCUGGGGGGGGGCUGUGAUUUGGGGGCUACCUCCUAUGGUGUGUGGGUUACUUGGGAACAUGGACAGAGGCUCAGGUGCCCGGAGUGGGCACCUAAAGAACAUUUGUGGUUCUUCAGUGUUCCAUUUUGAUGGUCUCUCUUUUAUGUCUCUGUUUCUAAGCCUGUUUCUGCUCUGGUUUAUGGUUUUAUGACUGAUUGGCCCUGCCCUGUGGAGAUAGGAAAAGAACAUUCAUGGAGGGAUUGGGGCAACUGGGGUAAAACUGGGGACUGAUGUAGGUAGUCCUCAGAUCUGAUACCGGAAAGCUUGAGAUUGGGAAACAAACAAUAUUUGUACUGGGGAGGACCAGGGUGGGUUGUGGGUAGGGCUGCAGAGAGGGUUCGGAUGGGCUGUGGGCCCCUUAAGGGGGUUCCUCUAGCCAUAACCCAUGUGCCUCACCCCAGAGGUCCCUGUUGGAUAUUCCACCACUGUUGCAUGAGGCUGAUCCCCUAAGGCACCUCCCGGCCUCUGGUUAAAGUGCCACCAUGGGGAUUGGGUGUCACACAUUAACUGGUAGCACCUUAGUGCCUGGCAGAGCCAGCCUGCCCUCUUUGUCAGACAAGCCCCAGGGCCCCAAGGGUCAGUUUCUGGUCAGUUUCAGGUCAGUUUCAACGGCAUUUGAAAAGACCUGAUUGGGGGAGGGAGUCUUCUAUGGGGACUCCCCUCUCUAAUGGGGGCCUAGGAGGAAGAGCCAAGG